CCUACGGGUGGCAGCAGUGGGGAAUAUUGCACAAUGGGCGAAAGCCUGAUGCAGCAACGCCGCGUGAAGGAAGAAGGUCUUCGGAUCGUAAACUUCUGUCCUUGGGGAAGAGAAUGACGGUACCCUGGGAGGAAGCCCCGGCUAACUACGUGCCAGCAGCCGCGGUAAUACGUAGGGGGCAAGCGUGAUCCGGAAUUAUUGGGCGUACAGAGUGCGUAGGUGGGUACGUAAGCGCGGGGUUUAAGGCAAUGGCUCAACCCUUGUUCGCCCUGCGAACUGGGUUACUUGAGUGCAGGAGAGGCAAGCGGACUUCCUAGUGUAGCGGUGCACUGCGUAGAUAUUAGGAGGCACCCCCGUUGCGAAGGCGGCUUUCUGGACUGUUACUGACACUGAGGCACGAAAGUGUGGGGAGCAAACAGGAUUAGAUACCCUUGUAGUC
This 439-nucleotide ribosomal RNA is filed under the name uncultured bacterium. RNAcentral's name for it is "partial 16S ribosomal RNA". It matches the Rfam family "Bacterial small subunit ribosomal RNA", at positions 338 to 795 of the family's 1533-position model. The record is from RNAcentral.